Molecule: ribosomal RNA, 317 nt
Filed under: Hydnum orientalbidum
Lineage: Eukaryota; Fungi; Basidiomycota; Agaricomycetes; Cantharellales; Hydnaceae
Description: partial 28S ribosomal RNA
Rfam family: Eukaryotic large subunit ribosomal RNA
Source: RNAcentral
UUCUGACCUCGAAUCAGGUGGGACUACCCGCUGAACUUAAGCAUAUCAAUAAGCGGAGGAAAAGAAACUAACAAGGAUUCCCCUAGUAACGGCGAGUGAAGUGGGAUGAGCUCAAAUUUAAAAUCUGGUAGUCUUUGGCUGCCCGAGUUGUAAUCUAGAGAAGUGUUUUCUGUGCUGGACUGUGUUCAAGUUUCCUGGAUAUGGAACAUCAUAGAGGGUGAGAAUCCCGUCCUUGACACAGAUUCCCUAGUGCUCUGUGAUGCACUCUCAACGAGUCGAGUUGUUUGGGAUUGCAGCUCAAAAUGGGAGGUAAAUUC